Non-coding RNA from Lentinula raphanica, 95 nucleotides. The record is from the annotation of a GenBank genome assembly. NCBI's taxonomy places the organism in Eukaryota, Fungi, Basidiomycota, Agaricomycetes, Agaricales, Omphalotaceae.
GUCUGCGUAACUCAGUGGUAGAGUGUGAGAUUGCAACCGUUAUUUGAACGCAAACAACAAUCUUGAAGUCGCGUGUUCGAACCACGCCGCAGACU